Molecule: long non-coding RNA, 304 nt
Organism: Salvia splendens (bonfire salvia)
Lineage: Eukaryota; Viridiplantae; Streptophyta; Magnoliopsida; Lamiales; Lamiaceae
Exons: 2
Source: RefSeq, a predicted model, not a curated record
GGGGGUAAUGAUGAGGAAUAUUUUUCAAUGGAAUGCUUUUCGGAAGAUUAGGCUGUUGAAGGGAUGAAAGGUGUGCUAUGAAUUGCAAAUGCUGAUCCCAAGAGAUGUUUAGGUGCUGCAUCUAGAAAUCUAAAUUUUUUACAUAACUUCUUUGUUGUUACCGACUACUUGGACUACUGAACUUAACGUAAGAAUGGUCUGUUGAGAAGGUCCUGCAACAAGUUAUUUAUAUUGUCACCCAUAUUGCUGCGACAGCAUCAAAGUCUCCUAAAGAAUGUGUUGUGCUUUUCCUUUCAGGAAAUAA